This 512-nucleotide ribosomal RNA is filed under the name uncultured bacterium. Its description in RNAcentral is "bacterial SSU rRNA". It matches the Rfam family "Bacterial small subunit ribosomal RNA", at positions 27 to 518 of the family's 1533-position model. The record is from RNAcentral.
GAACGAACGCUGGCAGCGUGGAUUAGGCAUGCAAGUCGGACGGGAUCAGCCGGUUAGCAAUAAUUGGCUGUGAGAGUGGCGGAUUGGGGAGGAGCACGUGAGCAACCUGCCCUGGAGAUGUGGAAAACCUCUGGAAACGGAGGCUAAUACAGAAUGUGGCGCCCGAUGGCAUCAUCGGAGCGCCGAAGGGGGCCGCAAGGCUCCCGCUCCGGGAUGGGCUCGCGCACCAUCAGCUAGUUGGCGGGGUAACGGCCCACCAAGGCCUACGGUUAGCUGGUCUGAGAGGAUGACCAGCCCCACUGGGACUGAGAUACUGCCCAGACUCCUACGGGAGGCUGCAGUCGAGGAUCAUUCGCAAUGGGCGAAAGCCUGACGAUGCGACGCUGCGUGGAGGAUGAAGGCCUUCGGGUCGUAAACUCCUGUCAUGGGGGAAGAGGCGAGGGGAGCUAACACCUUCCUUAGUUGACUGUACCCCAAGAGGAAGCGACGGCUAACUCUGUGCCAGCCGCCGC